GAUUAACGCUGGCGGCGUGCCUAACACAUGCAAGUCGAACGAGGGGGCAACCCCUAGUGGCAGACGGGUGAGUAACACGUGGUCAACCUACCGCUUUGUGGGGGAUAACCAGCCGAAAGGUUGGCUAAUACCGCAUACGUCGCGAUCGGCAUCGAUCGUUGAUAAAAGGAGCAAUCCGCAAGGUGACGGGACCGCGUCCCAUUAGCUAGUUGGUGAGGUAAUGGCCCACCAAGGCUCCGAUGGGUAGCUGGUUUGAGAGAGCGACCAGCC
RNAcentral lists this ribosomal RNA (270 nucleotides) under uncultured bacterium. Its description in RNAcentral is "partial 16S ribosomal RNA". It matches the Rfam family "Bacterial small subunit ribosomal RNA", at positions 28 to 309 of the family's 1533-position model. The record is from RNAcentral.